This 483-nucleotide ribosomal RNA is filed under the name uncultured bacterium. Its description in RNAcentral is "partial 16S ribosomal RNA". It matches the Rfam family "Bacterial small subunit ribosomal RNA", at positions 29 to 523 of the family's 1533-position model. The record is from RNAcentral.
AGUGAACGCUGGCGGCGUGCUUAACACAUGCAAGUCGAACGAGAAACGGAUUUAGCUUGCUAAAUUGCAGUCUAAGUGGCGCACGGGUGAGUAGUGUAUAGGUAAUAUGCCUCUUACUAAGGGAUAACAAUUGGAAACGAUUGCUAAUACCUUAUAUGCCUUUAAUACGAAAGUAUGCAAGGGAAAGAUUUUUUGGUAAGAUAUUAGCCUUUAUGGUAUCAGCUUGUUGGUGAGGUAAUGGCUCACCAAGGCUAUGACGCCUAACUGGUUUGAGAGGAUGAUCAGUCACACUGGAACUGAGACACGGUCCAGACUCCUACGGGAGGCAGCAGUGGGGAAUAUUGCACAAUGGACGAAAGUCUGAUGCAGCAACGCCGCGUGGAGGAUGACACAUUUCGGUGCGUAAACUCCUUUUAUAUAGGAAGAUAAUGACGGUACUAUAUGAAUAAGCACCGGCUAACUCCGUGCCAGCAGCCGCCGUAA